Molecule: long non-coding RNA, 580 nt
Organism: Lathyrus oleraceus (garden pea)
Lineage: Eukaryota; Viridiplantae; Streptophyta; Magnoliopsida; Fabales; Fabaceae
Exons: 3
Source: RefSeq, a predicted model, not a curated record
AAUUGUAAAUAACAUAUUAAACAAUGUUUUUUCUUCAUUAGUGCCCUUUCCCACCACAUGUGAUGAUCUUAUUGGUUCUAAUUUUCUUUCUCCCCCUAAAGAAAAUUAACAUAUCUCAAAUCUCCUUCUCUCCCAUUUCAGAAAAUAAAUCUCCCUCUAUCCUCAUUCUCCCAAAUCCAUUCAAGAGGGUAAAGAUUCAAUUUCCUCCCCACCGAUUCUAUCUUCCUUCUUGUAAAUGACAUUAUGUUAUAAGGAGGACAAAUGUUGGACCAAAUGCCUGAAACAACGUCUAGAAACAAAUGUCUGACACGAUGCCUGGGACAUUGUAUACCACAAGGUUGUUUAUAUAAUAAGAUGAAGCUACCACAUUUUAUUGCCAUAGCUGGACUUAUGUGUGCGAUGUUUGCUAAUUGUAUUCCUCAUCUUUCUGCUCCUAGAUAUCGCUUCUUCUUCGAUAUUUUUGUGAACUCAUAACAUUUCCAUUUUGGAAUAAUAUAUAACGAUUAGACAGCCAGUUGUCAAGAACAUGAUGAAAGCCCUAUUCUUUCAGUUUACUAUUGGAGUUGGAGUUCUACCAUUA